UUAAAUAAGAGAAGAUCAGCAUGGCCCCAGAGCAAAGAUGUGAUACAAAUUCGUGAAUUGCUCCAUAUAUUU
Molecule: small nuclear RNA, 72 nt
Organism: Bison bison bison
Lineage: Eukaryota; Metazoa; Chordata; Mammalia; Artiodactyla; Bovidae
Source: Ensembl